This 74-nucleotide transfer RNA is filed under the name Actinomycetota bacterium. RNAcentral describes it as "tRNA-Ile". It matches the Rfam family "tRNA". From Rfam's summary of the family: Transfer RNA (tRNA) molecules are approximately 80 nucleotides in length. Their secondary structure includes four short double-helical elements and three loops (D, anti-codon, and T loops). Lineage: Bacteria; Bacillati; Actinomycetota. The record is from RNAcentral. RNAcentral also lists the same sequence under 1 other name.
GGCCCGGUAGCUCAGUUGGUCAGAGCAGCGGACUCAUAAUCCGUCGGUCCUGGGUUCGAGCCCCAGCCGGGCCA